CCCUACUGCUAUCGGGGUGGGACUAAGACAUGCGAGUUGUGCGUCUCUAAGCUAUGGUAGAGACGCAGCGUACGGCUCAGUAACACGUGGCUAACCUACCCUUAGGACGGGGACAACCCCGGGAAACUGGGGCUAAUCCCCGAUAGGUAAGGAAUCCUGGAAUGGAUCUUUGCUGAAAGGGCGUCUGGACCAUGCUUCUUGACGUCGCCCAAGGAUGGAGCCGCGACCGAUCAGGUUGUUGGUGGGGUAACGGCUCACCAAGCCUAUAACCGGUACGGGCCGUGAGAGCGGGAGCCCGGAGAUGGGCACUGAGACAAGGGCCCAGGCCCUACGGGGCGCAGCAGUUGCGAAAACUCCGCAAUGCGCGAAAGCGUGACGGGGCUACCCCGAGUGCCGCCCGUUGAGGGCGGCUUUUCCGCGGUGUAAGGAGCCGUGGGAAUAAGGAGAGGGCAAGACUGGUGUCAGCCGCCGCGGUAAUACCAGCUCUCCGAGUGGUGGGGACGAUUAUUGGGCUUAAAGCGUUCGUAGCCGGCUUAACAAGUCUUCCGUUAAAUCCAACGAUCUAAUCGUUGGGCUGCGGGAGAUACUGUUGGGCUAGGAGGCGGGAGAAGCCGACGGUAUUCUCGGGGUAGGGGUGAAAUCCUGUAAUCCCGGGAGGACCACCAGUGGCGAAGGCGGUCGGCUAGAACGCGCUCGACGGUGAGGGACGAAAGCUGGGGGAGCGAACCGGAUUAGAAACCCGGGUAGUCCCAGCUGUAAACGAUGCGGGCUAGGUGUUGGGGUGGCCACGAGCCACUUCAGUGCCGCAUGGAAGCAAUUAAGCCCGCCGCCUGGGGAGUACGGCCGCAAGGCUGAAACUUAAAGGAAUUGGCGGGGGAGCACCACAAGGCGUGAAGCUUGCGGUUU
Molecule: ribosomal RNA, 906 nt
Filed under: uncultured archaeon
Lineage: Archaea
Description: bacterial SSU rRNA
Rfam family: Archaeal small subunit ribosomal RNA
Source: RNAcentral